RNAcentral lists this long non-coding RNA (5723 nucleotides) under Solanum lycopersicum (tomato). RNAcentral's name for it is "long non-coding RNA (SLYC_LNC001431)". The record is from RNAcentral. Lineage: Eukaryota; Viridiplantae; Streptophyta; Magnoliopsida; Solanales; Solanaceae.
UAUCAAUCCAUUGAUUUUGGUGAUUAAUUUGAAGCCCACCAAUUUGAUCUUGUAGAAGAAUUGUGAAGAAAUCUGGAUCAGUAUGUUUUGUGAUUCCAAGAGUCUUAUUGGGCUCAGGACAAGGUGGAUAGUAAUGACAGAGAAUGAAAUGGCCCCUUGCACAGUCCAGGCCCAAUAAGUGAUUGGGCUUAAGCCCAAGUGCCUCUGCUAGUAACUCAAAUAUUGUAUGGCCCAACUUUCUAACAUGUUGAGAAUAUUGAAGUAAUUCCUCCCUGAUAAAAAACAAAAAAAAUAAAAAAGUUCGGUUUUAAUUUAUUUGUCUUAUUUUGACUUGACAUAAAAUUUAACAAAAUAAAUAAGACUUUUGAUUCUUGUGAUUUUAAAUUAAAAAAAAAUAUAAAACAUACAAAAAAUGUCAUGUAAUCUUACCGUGUUAAACUGUCAUGCAGAAAGUUGAAAUUAAUUUUUUUUUAAAUAAAUAAUAACCGGCAUUCUUUUAAGGCAGACUAAAAAAAAGGGAAACUUACAUAAAUAUACUAUAAUAAAAAAAUAUUUACCAUUUAUAGCAAUAAUAUAUUUUUUUUUCACUUAAUCAGUUUUAAUUCAUUUAUAAUACAAGUUUAACACAUAUUACAAACAACAAUUUAUUAUUCACAUAUAAUACAAGUUUUAAUGAUGGAUAAUACAUUUAUCACACAUUUUAAUACAUUUAUAAUACAAUGUGUCAAAUUUUUACCAAACAAAUAUAAUAUAUUUAAAAAAACAAUUCUAAUUCAUAUAUAUUGCAUACAUAAUUCACUUUUAAUUCAUAUUGCAUAUUUAACAUAAUAUUGCUAUAAAUGGUAAUAAAUAAAAAAUGUUACUAAAAUUAGUAAUUAUUUAUUAAAAUGUACCAAUUUAUGUAAUUUUUCCAAAAAAAAAUUCCAACCUCAACUCACCUUUUUUUUUUAAAAAAAAAUAAUUAAAAAAGAGGUACCACUAACUAAUUAAUUUUUUUAAAAAAAGGUACCACUAGCUAAUUAAUUUAGAAAAAGGUAUUUUUAGUGGCUUAGUUUAAAGUCUAGACUCUUCCCACUUCAAUUUGAGAACAAGUUCGAUAUUCGAUAGUUUAAUUUAUUUAAUUUUCAUAGUAAAAUUAAUAUUUUUAAAUUUAAUAUAUAAAUAUUUAAAAUUAUAUAAAAUAUUAUAUGUGUGGUAGAAAAUCCAUUGAUAUGGUCAUCUUCAAUCCUUUAAUUAGGAAUGAAUAUAGAACAAAUAAAUUAUAGAGAUUUUUGACUAGCUUCUUUAUGCCAUCAUAAAAUAUUAAUCAAAAUUCACAGAGUUAAAAUUUUAAAAAUUAAACAGUAUCACGUAAAUUAAAAGUGAGAAAUAAAUUAUAUUCUAAACAAUCAACAAAGAGGGUUUUAGCUAAAAAAAAAAUUACCUACACGCUUGUGGUAAUUCAUCAUUAGUAGGUGGAUUAGGAGCCAUAACACAAGCUAAACUAUCCCUCCAAUUAGUAGCUUUAGAUGAAUAAAGAUCAAAAUUACUAUUAAAUUUCACUUUCUUCAAAUUAUCCCUUGAAUAAAACUCCAUCUUUUUCUCACUUGAUUGUUCAUUAAAUUUUUUAACUCCACUAAUCAUCUCAUCCAUAACAUGUUGUGGCACACCAUGAUUCACAACUUGAAAAAAUCCCCAACUCUUACAUGCCUCACCUACCUCUUCAACAAUUCUCGUACGUCGAAAAUCGUCUUCAUUCAUACCCUUCAGAUCUAUAACUGGGAUCUGAACGUUAACUAUGUUUGAAUCUGAAUCAAGAUUCUCAGCACUGAACUCAUUUUCUAUUAAGGUCGGUGUGACAAAGAUCUCGGGAAUAUGAACUAUUCCUGAAUCGACUAGUCCUUUUACACCAGCCUUUGUGUCAUCGAAGGCCUUGAGAUCUUUUGCUCGAUCAUAGUUUGCCAUUUUUUAUUUUAUUUUUGGUAAGAAGAGAGUUAUAAAAUAUGUUAAAAGUUUUUGAUUAUUUUGUAGAUCUAUAAAUAGGAAUAGGAGAUAAGGGAGGACAAAAUGGACAAAGAACGUGUCUUAUUUAUUUCCACAUGCAAUUGAUUCGAAUUUAUUAGCUCAAUUGGCCGGCGGUUUGAAAGUAUUUCACUUUGUUGGUAAGGAUUUGAUUUCCCGCAUUGUAAUUUCACAAAAUUGUUAUAUCCUGUAUCAAAUUAGUUAUCUUAUUUCGCUUCUCAAAAAUCAAUUAGAUUACUUGUCGUAUUUUACUUUUUUUCGAAAAUCAAUUUAUUUGUUUUUUUGUAAUUAAAUUAAUUUAAUAUCUUAUAUUUAAAUUUAUAUAUUCGAAUUACUUUUCAUUAUAAUUUUUUUCAUGUCAAUUUAAUAUAAAUAUAUAGAUUUAAAAUAUCAAUCAAAAUUUAUUUCGUUUGACUCUCCGAAAAACUAAAAUAUCUCUUACUUUAUCUUGUUAAUUUAAAAUUGAAAUAUAAUAUAAGAGAGAACAUAAAAGACAAAUAUAUAACUAAUUUAUUUAGUCAUCAUAUUGACUUGGCACCUACUUUGGAAUCCGAUAAAGAGUAGUAUUUAAUUAAGGGGUCUUUUGAUUAAUGGGACAAAGAAUAAUAAUUUUGACAUAAAAUGUGAAUUGUUUGAUUAGAUCAAAAACUUUAUAUAUUAUAUUAUUAAAAUAAAAGCUUUGUUUAAAUAUUAUACACCUCUCAGUUUCUCUAGUGUAAAAUAUUUAUUCCCUUUCGAAUAUAUAUAUUCCUCCGUUCUCGGAUACAGUGAUGAAGCCAUAAUUUAUAAUAAAGGGAUUUAAAAUUUGAAAAGUAAACACACGAACUAGUGGAAGAGGACUCAACAUCUAUUAUAUAUACCUAAACAAAUAAUUUUAACCAUGUAUAAAUACUAUUAUAUAUACCUAAACAAAUAAUUUUAACCAUGUAUAAAUAGUAAAUAUUUUCCGUCGAGUGGGUUCAAAUGAACUCCAUAAGUAUAUGUUGCCUCCGCCCGUGCUCGGAUACUUUCCUAUCCCCUCAUGAAUAACCCUCCUGAUCACAGAGACGAAGUCAGGAUUAUGAGUUCUAAAUUUUAGAAUGCAACAGAAAAAUAUUAUUACAAUAGAGUUUGAACACACAAUACUAGUGUGAAAAAAGUAUUCUCACCGUUGUUCAUUACCAUUAAGCUAUCAAUCAAUUUUGUUAGAAGGUUUACAAGUUAAUAUACAUAUAUAUAUAUAUAUUCAUUUAAUUUUCUAAUAUAAAUAUAGAGUUUACGAAAAAGCUAAUGGGUUCGUCCGAGCCCAUGUACUCCUACCUAGCUCCGCCUCUACAGUUUUAUAUACAUCUCUCCCAUUAAAUAAUGUAUCAUUCACAAAAUUCAAAAAAUAUAUAUGAGAAUAAUAAAUAAUUUAAUAUUUUUAUAAUUAAAGAAACUUUUAAGAUAUGAUGUAAUUAUAAAUCGUGGAGAUUUCUCGAAGUUUGAUGAUGUGCAAGAGUAGUAGGGGAGUCAUAUAAGAAUCAUAAAUACUUUAGCAAAAUUCAAGACUUAGCCAAUUUAGCAAUUUCAACAUUCAUUUCAAAUCAUAGAGUACUAAAUCACGCAUUUUGAUCUUGUCCUGUACGAAUAUAAAAUUUUAUUUAAUAUGAUAUCUUAAAAAAAUAUUUUUUUAUUCUUAUUAUUUGUUCAUUUUUUUUAGUUGUCUAAAUUGCUAGUUCAUUUUGACAAAUCAAGAAAAAAUAAUUUUUUUACCUAUUAAACCUCAAUUAGUUAUAUUGAAAAUGAUAAAAUUUCUUGAAAAUCUUAAUUUUUUAAUUCAUUCUCUUCAUAAUUAAUAAGGAUAAAAUGAUAAAUUCGUUAUAUUAAUAAUUAUUUUCUUAGGUAUAUUAAUUUAAAAGUAGAUAAGUAGAUAUCGAUGUUCUUAAAAAUUGUUAUUAAGGUGCCAAAUAUAUUCUUACUUUAUUGCAUAAAAGAUAUCGAUCUUCUUAAAAAUUGCUAUUAAGAUGCCAAUUUUUCUUUGGUAAUUCCAUAAAGCUAUUUUGAAAAGCAAGUAAAAAUGUAGUUUAUGAAUCUUUAUUACUUGCCGAUUUGACAAAUCAAGAAAUGAUAAAGCAUUUGUUUUAUUUAAGAAUAUGUUAUGCUUUUGAUUAUUUUGUAGAUCUAAAAAAUCACAUAAAUACAUAACUUAAGAUAUUUAAAUUUCAUACCAUUUUUAAAAAAAUUACAAAAAUUCCUUCUUGAAUUUAUCUAUAUCUCUCUUCCGUACAUCCCUAUCCCCUCUCAGAUACAUCCCUUUCCUCUCAGAUACAUCCCUGUCCACCUCGAAUACAUCCCUCCCCUCUCAUACAUAUCUCUGUCCCCCUCAAAUAUAUCCGUAUUCCCUUAUGGAUACAUCCUUAUCUAUUCGCGGACACAUCUCCAUUCAGUAAUAUAUCAAUCGCAAUGUAUCAGACAAUUAAGGAAUGUAUCGAGAAUAAUGAAAAAUUCAAAAAAUUUACAAUUGGGGAAAACUUUAGAGAUAUGAUAUAAUUUGCCUCCAAAUAUGUGAAAUUUCUCUAAGUUUGGUGCAGGAGACGAGUAGUAAAGGAGUCAUAUAUAAGAAUCAUAAAUACUUUAGCAAAGUUCAAGCUUAGCCAAUUUAGCAAUUUCGACAUUCAUCUCAAAUCAUGGAAUACUAAAUAAUGCAGUAUUGUCCUGCACUGACAUAAAAUUUUAUUUAAUACAAUAUCUUAAAAACUUACAAGAUAACUUAAUCGAAGUUCGUCAUUUCUCAAAUCGUAUUCUAUUAUAACUCAUGCCCAAGCGAACCCUAAAAACUUGAAUCACACAUGGUAGCCUUGCAAGUGAAAUAAUAUACACUUUUCCAUCCUAGAUUUUUAAAUGAAGAAGUGAAGGAAGAGCACCAAGUCCUUUGGAGUUGUAAUAUAACACAUAAUCUUUUACUGUUGUUUCUUUGUAUAAAGCAUGAUUUUCAUCAGACAACAAUUCCUUUAUUGGGCCAUAAAGUGUAUCAAAUGGCAAAAGUUGAGUUGUGAAGAAACAUGCAAUUGAAAUCCUUGGCCCAAUAUGUUGUGCCAAUACUCUAUGCUCUGCACUUUUGAACUUGUCAUUUGAUAGAAGCUGCCAAAAAUGAGUUUAAGUUAUAUGUAUCGUUCGAUAUAAUUUUCUUAUACCAUCAAGUCACACAAGAGAUAUCCUUAUAAUGUAUACUAUUAUUCACGAUUUCUCGCAUAUAAUACGUCAAAUCAAACUCACUACUAACACUCUAGAUUCACCUCUGAUAAGUCCAUAUCACUAGUGAAUAGACAUAUGCAAUUUGUUUUCGAUAUACUUACCUAAAAAAAAAGACAGUGAAUCUAUAAUUCAUUUAUAAUAUGUAUGUAUAUCUAUGUAUAUCAACUUUAAAAAGUAAACAGUGAAUCUGUCCGAUUGGAUACACUUGCCUGCAUAAGGUCACCAAGGUUGACAACUAGAGCACCAUUCACAGGAUGAAUAUCAAUCCAUUGAUUUUGGUGAUUAAUUUGAAGCCCACCAAUUUGAUCUUGUAGAAGAAUUGUGAAGAAAUCUGGAUCAGUAUGUUUAGUGAUUCCAAGAGUCUUAUUGGGCUCAGGACAAGGUGGAUAAUAAUGACUAAUUAUGAAUUGGCCUUUUGCACAGUCCAUGUCCAAUAAGUGAUUGGGCCUAAGCCCAAGUUCUUCUGCUAGUAACUCAAAUAUUGUAAGGCCCAACUUUCUAACAUG